Molecule: ribosomal RNA, 422 nt
Filed under: uncultured cyanobacterium
Lineage: Bacteria; Bacillati; Cyanobacteriota
Description: bacterial SSU rRNA
Rfam family: Bacterial small subunit ribosomal RNA
Source: RNAcentral
GGAAUUUUCCGCAAUGGGGGAAACCCUGAUGGAGCAAUACCGCGUGGAGGGAUGACGGUCGAAAGAUUGUAAACCCCUUUUCUGAGGGAAGAACUCUGACGGUACCUCAGGAAUAAGCACCGGCUAACUCCGUGCCAGCAGCCGCGGUAAUACGGAGGGUGCAAGCGUUAUCCGGAAUUAUUGGGCGUAAAGCGUCCGCAGGCGGUUUUUUAAGUCAGAUAUUAAAUCUUGGAGCCCAACUUCAAGGCUGUAUCUGAAGCUGAAAAACUAGAGUCUUUCAGGGGUAUGCGGAAUUCUGUGUGUAGGGGUAAAAUCCGUAGAUAUACAGAGGAACACCAAAAGCGAAGGCAGCAUACUGGGAAAGUACUGACGCUCAUGGACGAAAGCGUAGGUAGCGAACGGGAUUAGAUACCCCAGUAGUC